Ananas comosus (pineapple) is the source of this 732-nucleotide long non-coding RNA. RefSeq lists it as uncharacterized. NCBI's taxonomy places the organism in Eukaryota, Viridiplantae, Streptophyta, Magnoliopsida, Poales, Bromeliaceae. The record is from RefSeq and is a predicted model, not a curated record. The transcript is spliced from 4 exons.
CCAUGUAUCCAGCUUCUCUCUCUCUUCCUUCUUUUCAUUUCUUUCCUUCUCUCAUUCUCUUUAAACCUAGAUAGUGGUUGUGAGAAGGAAAGCUUGGUAGAGUUGAUGCCUUAGUGGAUUUCUUUGGUGUUCCGAGCUGGGAAGAGGAGAUUUGAACUGAGAGCAACUUGGUGGAACUUCAGAUUCAGUUGGCUAUGAGAAAGAAUUUGGUGGAGUAGAUUUUCGAAACAAGUUUCUUGCUGUUGGAGCUGAGAGCAACCUUGUUGAGCAUCAAAUUGAGGCAGGUUUGAUGUGCUCGGAAGUUCAAAUUGAUAUUCCGACGGACCCACAACGCGCUAAUUAAGAAACGCAUCGUUCUAGUUUGACUUGCAUUGAGUCGCGAGGACUAGUUAUUUAUACGUUUCGAGACGUUGGUUCUGGUAUUUUGGCAUCCCUACGAGAUCCUAGCGCGAGCGGAGUGGUCGAGGACCGCGGCAAGAGCCCGGCAUCUUAGCUAGCGGACCCUAGAGUAUAGUUGUACCCCAUUUUGGUUUCAUGUUGUAUAUAUUUGAUGAACAGGGAACGUGUAAAUGAAUGUAUAAAUGAGUAUGUAAAUAACUAAAUGUUGUGGUUAUUCAGCUUUAUGGUUUGGUUUAAAGUUUUCAAAAAUACAGUGAAUGCAUGUUUAGCUAGCUUACUUUCACUCGUUCUUGUUACUUGCCCUCGUGCAAGCCAUGUAUAUUGAAAUGUUAU